RNAcentral lists this non-coding RNA (148 nucleotides) under Pan troglodytes (chimpanzee). The record is from Rfam by way of RNAcentral. Lineage: Eukaryota; Metazoa; Chordata; Mammalia; Primates; Hominidae.
GCCAGGCGUGGUGGUGCAUGCCUGUAAUCCCAGCUACUCAGGAGGCUGAGGCAGGAGAAUUGCUUGAACCCGGGAGGCAGAGAUUGCAGUGAGCUGAGAUCGCACCACUGCACUCCAGCCUGGGUGACAGAGCGAGACUCUGUCUCAA